UACGGAGGGUGCAAGCGUAAAUCGGAAUUACUGGGCGUAAAGCGCGCGUAGGCGGUUGGGUAAGUCAGAUGUGAAAGCACCGGGCUUAACCUGGGAACUGCAUUUGAUACUGUCCGACUCGAGUAUGGUAGAGGGGGGUGGAAUUCCCGGAGUAGCGGUGAAAUGCGUAGAUAUCGGGAGGAACACCAGUGGCGAAGGCGGCCCACUGGACCAAUACUGACGCUGAGGUGCGAAAGCGUGGGGAGCAAACAGG
This 253-nucleotide ribosomal RNA is filed under the name uncultured bacterium. Its description in RNAcentral is "partial 16S ribosomal RNA". It matches the Rfam family "Bacterial small subunit ribosomal RNA", at positions 524 to 776 of the family's 1533-position model. The record is from RNAcentral.